This 400-nucleotide ribosomal RNA is filed under the name uncultured bacterium. Its description in RNAcentral is "bacterial SSU rRNA". It matches the Rfam family "Bacterial small subunit ribosomal RNA", at positions 356 to 773 of the family's 1533-position model. The record is from RNAcentral.
GGGGAAUAUUGCACAAUGGGCGAAAGCCUGAUGCAGCAACGCCGCGUGGAGGAUGAAGGCCUUCGGGUUGUAAACUCUUGUCUUCUGGGACGAUAAUGACGGUACCCGAGGAGGAAGCCACGGCUAACUACGUGCCAGCAGCCGCGGUAAUACGUAGGUGGCAAGCGUUGUCCGGAUUUACUGGGCGUAAAGGAUGCGUAGGCGGAUAUUUAAGUGGGAUGUGAAAUACCCGAGCUGAACUUGGGUGCUGCAUUCCAAACUGGAUAUCUAGAGUGCGGGAGAUGAGAGUGGAAUUCCUAGUGUAGCGGUGAGAUGCGUCGUGAUUAGGAAGAACACCAGUGGCGAAGGCGACUCUCUGGACCGUAACUGACGCUGAGGCAUGAAAGCGUGGGGAGCAAAC